Molecule: unclassified non-coding RNA, 301 nt
Filed under: plant metagenome
Description: partial contains 5.8S ribosomal RNA, internal transcribed spacer 2, and large subunit ribosomal RNA
Rfam family: 5.8S ribosomal RNA (bases 1-105)
Source: RNAcentral
GAAAUGCGAUAAGUAAUGUGAAUUGCAGAAUUCAGUGAAUCAUCGAAUCUUUGAACGCACAUUGCGCCCAUUAGUAUUCUAGUGGGCAUGCCUGUCCGAGCGUCAUUUCAACCCCUAAGCACAGCUUAUUGUUGGGCGUCUACGUCUGUAGUGCCUCAAAGACAUUGGCGGAGCGGCAGCAGUCCUCUGAGCGUAGUAAUUCUUUAUCUCGCUUCUGUUAGGCGCUGCCCCCCCGGCCGUAAAACCCCCAAUUUUUUCUGGUUGACCUCGGAUCAGGUAGGAAUACCCGCUGAACUUAAGC